RNAcentral lists this ribosomal RNA (2904 nucleotides) under Speleostelium caveatum. RNAcentral's name for it is "eukaryotic LSU rRNA". It matches the Rfam family "Eukaryotic large subunit ribosomal RNA", at positions 1 to 2555 of the family's 3401-position model. The record is from RNAcentral. Lineage: Eukaryota; Evosea; Eumycetozoa; Dictyosteliales; Raperosteliaceae.
AAAUUGCCUCAAUCAAGUAAGACUACCCGCUGAACUUAAGCAUAUCAGUAAGCGGAGGAAAAGAAACUAACAAGGAUUCCGUUAGUAACUGCGAGUGAACACGGAUUAGCCCAAGGUUCAAUCCCAAACUAAAAGUUUGGGAGAUUUAACCUAAGGACUAGCUUUCGGGGGUUUAUAGUUAGGGUAAUUCUGUAUGGAAUUACAAGCCAUAGAAGGUGAAAGCCCUGUCUAUCCUUAACUAUAAAUUUCCAAUUGUAUCGCUAGAUCCACGAGUAGGAAAGUCUGAAAUUGCUUUCUGAAAGGGUGAUAAGAUUCAUCCAAGGCUAAAUAUAUAUUAAGAGAUCGAUAGCACACAAGUACUGUGAAGGAAAGGUGAAAAGAACUUUGAAAAAAGGUUUAAAAGUAUUUGACAUCGUUUGUAUGGAAGCGUUUGAUUAGGGGCGCAAUGGAUAAAAGUUCGGGUAGCUCAAAAUCAUAUCAAAACAAACAGUAGCGAAAGUUAGGGAACAACACCUUAGGUGUUCAACAGACCUUUCCUACCAAGUAAGUUUGAAUCCCUGAUUGUACUCUACCCCGAAUCAGUUGGCAACCGUAAGGUUAUUGGUUGUUCAGAAUAAUUAGGAUAAGGUUGAUUUCUACUUCGGUAGUUUGAGACUUACCUAUUUUGAUAGACAACUUGAUCUUACAGACUACGUCAGGGUAGCUAUCACUAGGUUUGUUCUUGAUAGUUGAGGUGUGAUGUAUCGCGUCUAUAUGAUCUACUUCGGUAUUUUGUAUAGCCUUUACUGAAAACUUUGGCUAUGCCUGACUCAUCUAGACGCUACUCUAUAAGUUAAAAGGUUGUAAGGUCCCUAACAAAUGUCCCGUCUUGAAACACGGAUCAAGGAGGCUGUCUUGCGUGCGAGCAAAUGGGCUAAAUAACCCCUAAUGCGCAUUGAAAGAGAGAAUACUCUGAACCCUACUGUUCCUUCGGGAAGUAGAGAUAAAGGGUGCCUGAAUCAAUGUUGACUCUGUUCAACAAAGGUUUACGGUUGAGUACGCAAGAUAGGACCCGAAAGUUACUGAACUAUGCCCGAGGAAGGCGAAGCCAGGGGAAACUCUGGUGGAGGCUUGUAGCAAUGCUGACGUGCAAAUCGCUUGUCUAACUCGGGUAUAGGGGCGAAAGACUAAUCGAAGUAACUAGUAGCUGGUUCCUUCCGAAGUUUCCCUCAGGAUAGCUGGAGUCGUUAUACUAGUUCCAUCUUGUAAAGACAAUGGUUAGCAGUUUUGGGGGCGUAAUGCCCUCUGCUGAUUCCCAAACUCUGAACGGGUGGGUUCCUCUUUUACUUAGGUGAAAUGAGAUAUACACUAACGCAUGCGUUAGUAUAAAAUAGUUGACUCUUAGUGGGCCAUUUUUGGUAAGCAGAACUGGCGAUGUGGGUUGAACCAAAUAUCGGGAUAAGACGCCCAAUCUCCGCUAACAGAUACCACAAAAGGUGUUAGUUCAUAUAGACAGCAGGACGGUGGCCAUGGAAGUCGGCAUCCGCUAAGGAGUGUGUAACAACUCACCUGCCAAAUGGACUAGUCCUGAAAAUGGAUGGCGCUAUAGCGGAGAGUCGAUGCCCGGUCGUUAAAGGAAGUGAUAAUCCCUUUAACGAGUAGGAAGGCGUGAAGGUAGCGUAGAAGCUUCACCGUGAGGUGGAGUGGAGCUGCCUUUAGUGCAGAUCUUGAUGGUAGUAGCAAAUAUUCAAAAUAACUUCAUCUUUGAAGGCCGAAGUGGGGAAGGGUUCCACAACAAUGGCAUUCAUUUGUGGGUUAGUCGAUCCUAAGGCGCGGGUGAAAUCUUUCAAACUCUCUUAUUAGCUGUUCAAAUAAUCCGCAAGGGUUACUGUUCAGAUAGAACCUAGUAAGACUGUGUGCCGAAAGGGAAGCGGGUUAAAAUUCCUGCACCACUAAUUUGAUUUGUAGGGUAACCGAUCAACGGUCGGGACGUCAAUAGAUGGCUAGGGAAGAGUUAUCUUUUCUUGUUAACACUGUGCGGGCCUGUGUUUGGGGUUAAACUCAAGUAUGGGUAAUGUUUACCUUGGAAUUAGGUCAACUAGCGAAAAGGUAGAAUUCCACGGUGAAAGAGCAUCCACCAUUUGGAGGAGGUCCUACGUCCAUUUAUUGGCCCUUGAAAACCGGCCUUGAUAAAAUAUAAUCACUUUAGUGUUCGUACCAAUAACCACAUCAGGUCUCCAAGGUGAAUAGCCUCUGGCCAAAUGUAUUAAUGUAGAUAAGGGAAGUCGGCAAAACCGAUCUGUAACUUCGGGAUAAGGAUUGGCUCUAAAGGCUGGUAGCAUCAACAUGUGAGUCUAAUUAUUGGACUUUGAGGUUCUUAGAUUGGGGGUAACUUUGGUUUAGGGAUUGAUAAUGAUAGUUUUUAGUAAUCUUAUAUGAGAAUUUAUUCGAUUGGUGUUACAAUUAACAGCUAAUUUAGAACUGUAACGAUCACGGGGAAUCCAACUGUUUAAUUAAAACAAAGCGUUGCGAUGAGGUGAAAGCCCAUUGACGCAACGUGAUUUCUGCCCAGUGCUCUGAAUGUUAAAGUGUAGAGAUACAACCAAGCACGGGUAAACGGCGGGAGUAACUAUGACUCUCUUAAGGUAGCCAAAUGCCUCGUCAUCUAAUUAGUGACGCGCAUGAAUGGAUCAAUGAGAUUCCCACUGUCCCUAACUACUAUACAGCGAAACCACUGCUAGGGGAACGGGCCUAGUAAGAAUAGCGGGGAAAGAAGACCCUGUUGAGCUUGACUCUAGUCUGAUAUUGCUUAGUGACCUAGGAGGUGUAGAAUAGGUGGGAGGAGCAAUCCGACGGUGAAAUACCACCCCUCUUGGCGUUACUUAGCUAACUUAAUAAAACGUUUCUUCAAGAUUUAGGUCUUGU